This 506-nucleotide ribosomal RNA is filed under the name uncultured bacterium. Its description in RNAcentral is "partial 16S ribosomal RNA". It matches the Rfam family "Bacterial small subunit ribosomal RNA", at positions 30 to 523 of the family's 1533-position model. The record is from RNAcentral.
AUUGGACGCUGGCGGCAGGCCUAACACAUGCAAGUCGAACGGUAACAGGAAACAGCUUGCUGUUUCGCUGACGAGUGGCGGACGGGUGAGUAAUGUCUGGGAAACUGCCUGAUGGAGGGGGAUAACUACUGGAAACGGUAGCUAAUACCGCAUAACGUCGCAAGACCAAAGAGGGGGACCUUCGGGCCUCUUGCCAUCGGAUGUGCCCAGAUGGGAUUAGCUAGUAGGUGGGGUAACGGCUCACCUAGUCGACGAUCCCUAGCUGGUCUGAGAGGAGGACCAGCAACACUGGAACUGAGACACGGUCCAGACUCCUACGGGAGGCAGCAGUGGGGAAUAUUGCACAAGGGGCGCAAGCCUGAUGCAGCCAUGCCGCGUGUAUGAAGAAGGCAUUCGGGUUGUAAAGUACUUUCAGCGGGGAGGAAGGGAGUAAAGUUAAUACCUUUGCUCAUUGACGUUACCCGCAGAAGAAGCACCGGCUAACUCCGUGCCAGCCGCCGCCGUAA